RNAcentral lists this ribosomal RNA (271 nucleotides) under uncultured bacterium. RNAcentral's name for it is "partial 16S ribosomal RNA". It matches the Rfam family "Bacterial small subunit ribosomal RNA", at positions 524 to 794 of the family's 1533-position model. The record is from RNAcentral.
GACGAAGGGGGCUAGCGUUGUUCGAAAUUACUGGGCGUAAAGCGCGUGUAGGCGGUUAUCCAAGUUGGGUGUGAAAGCCUUGAGCUCAACUCAAGAAAUGCACUCAGUACUGGGUGACUAGAGGACCGGAGAGGAUAGUGGAAUUCCUAGUGUAGAGGUGAAAUUCGUAGAUAUUAGGAAGAACACCGGUGGCGAAGGCGACUUUCUGGCUCGUAACUGACGCUGAGGCGCGAAAGCGUGGGGAGCAAACGGGAUUAGAAACCCCUGUAGU